RNAcentral lists this ribosomal RNA (460 nucleotides) under uncultured bacterium. RNAcentral describes it as "partial 16S ribosomal RNA". It matches the Rfam family "Bacterial small subunit ribosomal RNA", at positions 338 to 795 of the family's 1533-position model. The record is from RNAcentral.
CCUACGGGAGGCAGCAGUGAGGAAUAUUGGUCAAUGGACGCAAGGCUGAACCAGCCAUGCCGCGUGCAGGAUGACGGCUCUAUGAGUUGUAAACUGCUUUUGUACGAGGGUAAACCUCUCUACGUGUGUCUGGUUGAAUGUAUCGUACGAAUAAGGAUCGGCUAACUCCGUGCCAGCAGCCGCGGUAAUACGGAGGAUCCGAGCGUUAUCCGGAUUUAUUGGGUUUAAAGGGUGCGUAGGGGGUUUGUUAAGUUAGAGGUGAAAUGUCGGGGCUCAACCCCGAAACUGCCUUUAAUACUGGUGGACUAGAGAAUAUUUGCGGUAGGCGGAAUGUGUGGUGUAGCGGUGAAAUGCAUAGAGAUCAUACAGAACACCGAUUGCGAAGGCAGCUUACCAAACUAUAUCUGACGUUGAGGCACGAAAGCGUGGGUAGCAAACAGGAUUAGAUACCCGUGUAGUC